RNAcentral lists this long non-coding RNA (913 nucleotides) under Homo sapiens (human). Its description in RNAcentral is "HSALNT0352147". The record is from RNAcentral. Lineage: Eukaryota; Metazoa; Chordata; Mammalia; Primates; Hominidae.
CUGUGUUGCCCAGACUGGUCUCAAAACUGGUCUAAGGCUAUCUUCCCUCCUCAGCUUCUCAAAGUAAUAGGAUUAUAGGUCCAGCUGAAAUUUUUUCUUGAUAACCAGAUGUGAUGUACCAGGUAAAAGUAACUGUAACUGCUGUAAAGAGGCCUGCAGUACUAUAAGUAACAUGUGUGGGAAGGGGAAAGGUUCUGUAGUCCUGUGAUUAGGUCUGAGUCCUUUAGGGAGCCUGUGCCUCUGGGCUGUGACCUUCACAAGAGCUUCUCAGCCCUCCCUCCCAUCACCACCCUUACAUGGGACAGGAUGGCCAGAGGUGGGUAAUUUCCUUCCUCCAGGCAGGUUAGGCUCUGAAAACAAAAAACAAAACAAAACAAAACAAAAGAAAACAAAACACCAGUAGCUUAGGUGAAAUAUUUGCCCUUGAGGAAAGACCUUGUUAAGAAGAACAGAAAGCUCUGGUGUACUUCAAGACGGUUCCUUUUCACCUUCCCUUUCUGGAAGCAUGAGGAGAUUUUUCUCCAACAUUCACUGUGAGAACCCAGUCAAGCUAGGUGUCAAACUCACAGAAGUGUGGGGAUCCUUCUCUGUCUGGGUCUUCCUGGAGUUUUUAAUUCUCAGAUGUGUCCACAUCAAACAUCCAACAAUUCGUCAAUUAAGUUUAGGUUUUCCUACCUUGACAACGGUUUCCCCAAAGGCAAGAAAGCAUGCAAACUCUGAAGCACAGUGUAAAACACUUGAAGAGAUACGAGAGGAAAACUUUGUGAAUCUGAAUUCUGCGUGCUAUUGAAGCAUGGUUCUUUUCAAACUCAUGGCAAAUAUACCUCAGAAUUAAACUCUAUAAUUAAGGAAGAAACCCUCAUUCUCCCUGUAAUAACUGAAUACCUAAGCACAUUAAAAGGCCUAAAUAAUC